Molecule: ribosomal RNA, 206 nt
Filed under: uncultured Tissierella sp.
Lineage: Bacteria; Bacillati; Bacillota; Tissierellia; Tissierellales; Tissierellaceae
Description: partial 16S ribosomal RNA
Rfam family: Bacterial small subunit ribosomal RNA
Source: RNAcentral
UUCGUAGGCGGUUAUUUAAGUCAGGUGUGAAAGGCAUAGGCUCAACCUGUGUAAGCACUUGAAACUGAAUGACUUGAGUUAAGGAGAGGAAAGUGGAAUUCCUAGUGUAGCGGUGAAAUGCGUAGAUAUUAGGAGGAAUACCAGUAGCGAAGGCGACUUUCUGGACUUAUACUGACGCUGAGGAACGAAAGCGUGGGGAGCAAACA